Molecule: unclassified non-coding RNA, 213 nt
Filed under: Maxillaria multifoliata
Lineage: Eukaryota; Viridiplantae; Streptophyta; Magnoliopsida; Asparagales; Orchidaceae
Description: partial external transcribed spacer
Source: RNAcentral
CAAAUGUGGCUCCUUCGAAUUCCGGUCUUGGUGUCCUGGCGCCUUUGAUCGAGUUGUGAUUUAUCCAAGCGGAUAGUGCCUUUAUCUUCUUUGCGACUUUGGUGCUUUCCCCUCCUGCCAUAUGAAAUUAUAUGGCUGUGGUGGGGCGAGAUCAUGGUUGCGUUGAGGACGUGCUACCUGGUUGAUCCUGCCANUAGUCAUAUGCCUUGUCUA